UCUGUUGAAUAUUAAUUGACUAUAAAGGUGUGGGUGUAUUUCUGGGAUCUCUAUUCUGUUCCAUUGAUCUAUGUGUCUGUUUUUAUGUCAGUACCAGGCUGUUUUGAUUACUAUGGCCUUACAGAAUAGUUUGAUGUUAGGUGGCAUGCUACCUCCAACUUUGUUCUUCUUUCUCAGAAUCAUUGUUGCUA
Long non-coding RNA from Phyllostomus discolor (pale spear-nosed bat), 191 nucleotides. RefSeq lists it as uncharacterized. The record is from RefSeq and is a predicted model, not a curated record. The transcript is spliced from 3 exons. Lineage: Eukaryota; Metazoa; Chordata; Mammalia; Chiroptera; Phyllostomidae.